AUAAGCAUCGGCUAACUCCGUGCAAGCAGCCGCGGUAAUACGGAGGAUGCGAGCGUUAUCCGGAUUUAUUGGGUUUAAAGGGUGCGUAGGCGGAUUCUUAAGUCAGCGGUAAAAUGUCCGGGCUCAACCCGGGCCGGCCGUUGAAACUGGGGGUCUUGAGUGGGCGAGAAGUAUGCGGAAUGCGUGGUGUAGCGGUGAAAUGCAUAGAUAUCACGAAGAACUCCGAUUGCGAAGGCAGCUCACUAGACUGCAACUGACACUGAUGCUCGAAAGUGUGGGUAUCAAACAGG
This 290-nucleotide ribosomal RNA is filed under the name uncultured bacterium. Its description in RNAcentral is "partial 16S ribosomal RNA". It matches the Rfam family "Bacterial small subunit ribosomal RNA", at positions 486 to 776 of the family's 1533-position model. The record is from RNAcentral.